This is a long non-coding RNA of Felis catus (domestic cat), 1805 nucleotides long. RefSeq lists it as uncharacterized. The record is from RefSeq and is a predicted model, not a curated record. Lineage: Eukaryota; Metazoa; Chordata; Mammalia; Carnivora; Felidae. The transcript has 3 exons.
GAGAACCUCCUGGACCCCACUCUGCUCCUGGGGAUUCACCUUUCCCACCAGAGCACCACCAGGAACUCAUUCAGUGAGUGGGUCCUUUGAUGAGAAGAAAUUAAACAGCCUUGGAAGUCUAAGAGAAGAAGGCACAGGCAAGCAGUUUGGGAAGAAGAAGACUAAAUGGAAGCACACCCAAGACUGGAAGAGGGAAAAGAAUAUUCUCGAGGCUUCCCUCUGGAAAAAGAACCUUCUCUCCUAGUGAAAAUGAGAUUGAAAGAGGGCAGAGUCACCUGAUGGUUCAGUGGAUGAUCAGAGAGAAGAGUCCAGGUCUCCAGACUCCUCCAAGAAGCCCCUCACUGUGCUGGAAAUGUUUUUUCCUAGGAAUUCCGGGGCAUGUUCUUCUUUGUAGACUCUUGAUUACUGUAGAUGUAUUUUAGUUUUGGGGGGAGAGGGGGUUUGUGACCCAUAGUUUGUUUACCUAUUUUCCUUAAUUUUAUGAUUGUUUGUAUUUUUGAUUAGUUUGCUUACUUAGCAUUACUACAAUACUGUGUUAUAAGGAAAUGCCAAAAUUUAGCCUGCUGCUAAGAGCUGGUGAGCUCCUAGAACCAUUGUGGGGAAAGUGAUGGAACUAAAGAAGGAGGCUAGAAAUGGAGGCCUUUCAGGGCAGUGGAAAGAGUAUAGACUGGGUGGUCACAUAGACAUGAAUGCUACCUCUCCAUCUCAUUGACGGUCACCACUUUAAGGAGAUUGCUUAAUUUCUAUGACCCUCAGUUCCUCAUCUGUAAAAUGGGGUAAUAGUACUUACCUUGCUUUGAGGAUGGAGAGAGAUAGAAUUAUAAUUGCAGUGAGGAUUGAGAGAGAAAUUUCCAUGGGGUAGGCACUCAAUAAAUGGUAGCUAUUAUUGUUAGAAAGAACAGAACAAGAGUGAAAGGAAAAAUAAAGCAUUUGCUCAAUUUAUAGUGUGGUCUUCACAAAAAGGGAACCAUAGGGAUACCCACCAAUACAGAAAACUCCCUUCAUCCUUUCCUCUUCGGCCAGCCUGAGCAUGGUUUGCAUGGUGAGCAGGGUCAUCAUCAUGAAGGGAAUACUCUGGGACACUGCCAAGAGGGGCACAAGAGGAGAAAAGCAUUAACCCCCCACACUGGGAUGUUCUGUGACUCUUCAUGUCAGCAUUUCAAGGCUGCAUGGGGGACACAGAUGAGGUGCAGCGGGAAGAUAUCCGCCUCUAUCCCUCUCUUGCCAUAAUGCCUGUCUGUAGUUAGAGAAUCAAGGAGUGGUCGGUUUAAAAUAAGGUGCAAGCUAUAAAGUCACCUGUACCUGUUUUUUGGUAGCAGUUGCUUAUUUGGAUAAUUAUUUUAUUAAUGUCCAUCUCUCCCAUCAGAAAUUUCCUGCAUCCCCAGGGCCUAGCACAGGUAAUAGGCUCUCAAUAAAUAAGUAAACAAGCAAACAAAUACAUAUCUGUCAAGUAAAAUGGUGUAGAAAAAAAAAUCAUAACAAACCCUUAGUUCAUGUAAAUGUCCAGUGGUUUGUGGAACGUGCCUCGCAGAAAAAGGGCUUUUGCAAAAACAAAGCCAGAUGAAAGGGAUGGUGAGGGUGGGAGGGAGUCCAGCCAAAUCCAGGGCAGCAUGGACUCAUGGUGAGUCAGCAGGCUCAUCUAUGCUCAGAAACAGCUGCCUAAAUCCUGCUAUUGAUAUUCUUUAGCACAGCAGAAGGGAGGUAUGUUCUCCUUUCUGUUGUUUGCACCCAUUUGGUUUUAGACAAUUAGUCAGGGUAGUUGUUUCCCAGGAAAAUGUGGCGGUUAUUUCCUCCAUACCGUAGCU